CCUACGGGUGGCAGCAGUGGGGAAUAUUGGACAAUGGGCGCAAGCCUGAUCCAGCGACGCCGCGUGAGUGAAGAAGUCUUUCGGUUUGUAAAGCUCUAUUGGCAGGGACGAAACAAGUGACGGUACCUGACUAAUAAGCCACGGCUAACUACGUGCCAGCAGCCGCGGUAAUACGUAGGGGGCAAGCGUUAUCCGGAUUUACUGGGUGUAAAGGGCGUGUAGGCGGGACUGCAAGUCAGAUGUGAAAGCCAGGGGCUCAACCUGUGGACUGCAUUUGAAACUGUAGGUCUUGAGUGCAGGAGAGGCAAGUGGAAUUCCUAGUGUAGCGGUGAAAUGCGUAGAUAUUAGGAGGAACACCAGUGGCGAAGGCGGUCUGCUGGACUGUAACUGACGUUGAGGCUCGAAAGCGUGGGGAGCAAACAGGAUUAGAUACCCUGGUAGUC
Molecule: ribosomal RNA, 443 nt
Filed under: uncultured bacterium
Lineage: Bacteria
Description: partial 16S ribosomal RNA
Rfam family: Bacterial small subunit ribosomal RNA
Source: RNAcentral